CCUACGGGUGGCAGCAGUGAGGAAUAUUGGUCAAUGGACGAGAGUCUGAACCAGCCAAGUAGCGUGAAGGAUGACUGCCCUAUGGGUUGUAAACUUCUUUUAUAUGGGAAUAAAAUGUUCCACGUGUGGGAUUUUGUAUGUACCAUAUGAAUAAGGCUCGGCUAACUCCGUGCCAGCAGCCGCGGUAAUACGGAGGAUCCGAGCGUUAUCCGGAUUUAUUGGGUUUAAAGGGAGCGUAGGUGGAUUGUUAAGUCAGUUGUGAAAGUUUGCGGUUCAACCGUAAAAUUGCAGUUGAAACUGGCAGUCUUGAGUACAGUAGAGGUGGGCGGAAUUCGUGGUGUAGCGGUGAAAUGCUUAGAUAUCACGAAGAACUCCGAUUGCGAAGGCAGUUCACUGGACUGCAACUGACACUGAGGCUCGAAAGUGUGGGUAUCAAACAGGAUUAGAUACCCUAGUAGUC
RNAcentral lists this ribosomal RNA (460 nucleotides) under uncultured bacterium. RNAcentral describes it as "partial 16S ribosomal RNA". It matches the Rfam family "Bacterial small subunit ribosomal RNA", at positions 338 to 795 of the family's 1533-position model. The record is from RNAcentral.